Grammomys surdaster is the source of this 365-nucleotide long non-coding RNA. RefSeq lists it as uncharacterized. The record is from RefSeq and is a predicted model, not a curated record. The transcript is spliced from 3 exons. Lineage: Eukaryota; Metazoa; Chordata; Mammalia; Rodentia; Muridae.
GGGACGUUUACACAGUCUCUUGAAUAGCUGAGUUCCAGGGGGCCACGGCAGCAAAUGCAACAAUUCAUGUGCAACCAAUCCUGAAAUGUUCCUUGCAGGAGGUCUGGGGAAAAAAUGUGAGCAGCUGUGCCGAGCUUUUGCCAACACACCUACUGCACCACGAUGGAUUAUAGGCGCAAACCGCGAGCCAGAACAGACCAGAACAAACCUGUCCUCCUGUAAGGUGCCAUUACAGGGUGUUCGUCACAGCGGUCAACCCCCUCUUCAAGUGUCUGUCAGCUUCGGUGACUAGCCUACGUGGCUGUCAUCUGGACCAAAAGCACCAUUACACACAGUUCAAAACAAAAACAAAAGCAAACCCGAGC